AAGAUCAUGGAAUCCUUCAAAAACAUGGUUCCAUAGUAAGCCCUGGUGAUUUGAAAUUGUGAGAAAAUGAGCAUAAACACGGAGGAGGUGGUUGUUGGGGACCUAGUAGAAGUGAAAAGCCAGGAUCGGAUCCCUGCUAACCUCAGGAUCAUAUCUGCCAGCAGCUGCAAGGUGGAUAACUCCUCACUCACCGGUGAAUCAGAGCCCCAGACCAGGUCUCCAGACUUCACAAACAAAAACCCCCUGGAGACAAGGAACAUUGCCUUCUUUUCAGCCAACUGCGUUGAAGGCACUGCCCUUGGCAUCGUCAUGUACACUGGAGGCCACAGUGUCAUGGGAAGAAUGGCCACGCUGGCCUCUGGGCUGGGAGGCAGCCAGACUCGCAGCACUGCAGAAAUCAAACGUUUUAGUCAGCUCAUCACGGGUGUGGCCGUGUUCCUGGCUGUCUUUCUUCAUCCUCUCACUGAUCCUCGAAUAUACCAGGCUUGAGGCCAUCAUCUUCCUCAUUGAUAUCAUUGUAGCCAAUGUGCCCGAAGGUCUGCUGGCCACUGUCAUGGUGUUUCUGACCCUCACUGCCUAACGCAUGGCCCGGGAAAACUGCUUAAUGAAGAACUAAGAGGCUGUAUCCACAUCCACCAUCUGCUCCCAUAAAACUUGA
Myotis brandtii (Brandt's bat) is the source of this 658-nucleotide RNA transcript. It is a transcript of the gene named sodium/potassium-transporting ATPase subunit alpha-1 pseudogene, with no coding region annotated. Lineage: Eukaryota; Metazoa; Chordata; Mammalia; Chiroptera; Vespertilionidae. The record is from RefSeq and is a predicted model, not a curated record. The transcript has a single exon.